AGAGUUUGAUCCUGGCUCAGAAUCAACGCUGGCGGCAUGCCUAACACAUGCAAGUCGAACGCGAAAGUGGCUUCGGCCGCGAGUAGAGUGGCAAACGGGUGAGUAACGCGUGGGUGACCUGCCUUCGAGUGGGGGAUAACGUUUCGAAAGGAACGCUAAUACCGCAUAACAUCCUGUUCUUGAACGGAUGGAGAUCAAAGCCGGGGAUCGCAAGACCUGGCGCUUGAAGAGGGGCCCGCGUCCGAUUAGCUAGUUGGUGAGGUAAUGGCCCACCAAGGCGACGAUCCGUAGCUGGUCUGAGAGGAUGAUCAGCCACACUGGGACUGAGACACGGCCCAGACUCCUACGGGAGGCAGCAGUGGGGAAUAUUGGACAAUGGGCGAAAGCCUGAUCCAGCCAUGCCGCGUGAGUGAAGAAGGCCUUAGGGUUGUAAAGCUCUUUCAGCGGGGAAGAUAAUGACGGUACCCGCAGAAGAAGCCCCGGCUAACUUCGUGCCAGCAGCCGCGGUAAUACGAAGGGGGCUAGCGUUGUUCGGAAUUACUGGGCGUAAAGCGCGCGUAGGCGGAUCGCUAAGUCAGGGGUGAAAUCCCAGGGCUCAACCCUGGAACUGCCUUUGAUACUGGCGAUCUGGAGAUCGGGAGAGGUUGGUGGAAUUCCGAGUGUAGAGGUGAAAUUCGUAGAUAUUCGGAGGAACACCAGAAGCGAAAGCGGCCAACUGGCCCGAUACUGACGCUGAGGCGCG
Molecule: ribosomal RNA, 742 nt
Filed under: uncultured Alphaproteobacteria bacterium
Lineage: Bacteria; Pseudomonadati; Pseudomonadota; Alphaproteobacteria
Description: bacterial SSU rRNA
Rfam family: Bacterial small subunit ribosomal RNA
Source: RNAcentral